AUGGAUGGAAGGCAGCUUCUUGUCACUGCAGAGACAUGGUACAGCUAUUCGUGCGUGGUCCGACAGAAUAGGAUUGUUAGAUGGUAUUCAAUAUUGAUUAUAUGUUACUGGGGCUCUGGUGGGGCUAAAAUUCUAUUGGUGAUUAUCCGCUUGGUUCGUUGUCUGGAUACAAUUAUGGAGCCUGCCGCACGGUCCUUGAUUAUUUGGAUAUUUGGUGAGUAUAGCUCUACUGGAAAUCUCAUCCCAAAGAUAGCUCCAGUUGUUCUUAAGUAUCUGGCAUGGUCCUUCGCUGCCGAAGUGCUGGAGACAAAGCUUCAGAUCCUAAAUGCUUCUGCAAAGGUUAUCAUACAUUCUGCACAAGAACAGCUAGAAGAAUUCAAAAUGAUAGUGGCAUAUGUCAUUCAGUUGGCUGCAUGUGACAUGAAUUAUGAUGUCCGUGACCGUGCACGUUUCUUGUCAGGACUUCUACCAUGCUGUGCUACUGAAAAUGACCCCUCAUGUCGAUCACAGAAUGUAGAUGUUAUUAAAGAGCUAGCUGAUCAUAUCUUUGGUGGGAAGAUACCUCCUGCAUCUAAUUCAGACAGCAACUACCGGAUUUAUCUUCUGGGUUCCCUGUCACAAGUUGUUCUUCAUGCAGCGCCUGGCUAUGCACCACUUCCGAAGCCUCAAAGUAUGAUCUUAAUUCAUAAGACCGUAGAACCAAUCAGAGGUGUAGCUGAUUCCUCCGAAGGUACUAAUUCUGAUGCUGAAUCUGGAUCUUCAAGGGAUGGGAGUGGCUCUGUGUAUGAUUCAGAAAGUGAAGCUGGUAGUGAUUCGAUCGAUGAUUGCCAUAACCUUCAUCGUCAAGAGGAGAACCAGGAAGCUCCGCUGAUUCAUAUGUAUGAUGGUAAUGUAGAUCAAGCAUAUGCCGGUCGAGCUGUUGAUGAAAAUUUGGCAUCUCUCAUCUCUACUGAUUUGACAGAAUUAAUGUCCAAGUCAGCCUUGGAGUCAUGGCUUGAUGAGGCUCCUGCUGCACCACUUGUUGUUCAAGAUUCGGUACAGACAUCAUGUGCAAGGGUUUCUUUUACCACUCGCAGCUUUGAGAGAAAACCUAAAUUGCAUAGGUUGUUAGAUCCAUCGGCUAGUGAUGCCUUGAGUGUUCUAUAUGCCUUCUCAUCUGAGGUUUCACCCAAAUCACACUUGCUAGUAUGUGUAGACUUGUUUGUCGAGAAUGUUACAACAGAACAAUUAGCAGAUAUAACCAUUAAAUCUGAAGAGGCUUCUGGUAGCAAGGGUGGCAUGGACCAAACAUCAGAAGGAUCCGCAAACAUACCAACUCUUGUCCCUGUUGAAGAGAUACAGUCACUGGCUCCUGAACAGACAGCUAAGAUGCUUCUUCAGGUUCACUUUCAUCACCAUCUAUUGCCCUUGAAGUUGUCUGUCCUUUGCAAUGGGAAAAGGCAUCCAGCCAAACUUCACCCGGACAUUGCUUAUUUUGUACGACCACUACCCAUGGAUCUAAAUGCUUUUCUAUGCAAGGAAAACCAGCUGAGGGGAAUGUUUGAGUACGCUAGAAGGUGCACCUUCAAAGAUCAUCUUCAGAAGCACGAGCAGACCGAAGAGAGUACAGACCACAACACCGACAAAAACCUUCUAGUAGCCCAAACUCUCGCAUCGAAAGUACUCAGCAACGCCAAUGUUCACCUAGUGUCAAUGGAUAUGCCCGUGACCUUCAGCAUCGACGACGCCUCCGGCUUGUGCUGGCGAUUCAGCAGCGAGAUCCUGAGCACUUCGAACCCCUGCCUGAUCACCAUCGUGGCGGACGGGCAUACCUCGGAACCACUGGAUCUCACCGUCAAGGUGAACUCUGAAGACACGGCGUUCGGACUGAACCUCAUGAACAGAAUCGUGGCGAUCAUAGAGUGA
RNAcentral lists this ribosomal RNA (1905 nucleotides) under Triticum aestivum (bread wheat). Its description in RNAcentral is "partial small subunit ribosomal RNA". The record is from RNAcentral. Lineage: Eukaryota; Viridiplantae; Streptophyta; Magnoliopsida; Poales; Poaceae.